GUAACAAGGUCUCCGUUGGUGAACCAGCGGAGGGAUCAUUACUGAGUGUAAAAACUCCCAAACCCACUGUGAACCUACCACUGUUGCUUCGGCGGACCCGCCCCGGGCGCCUCCCCCCAGGGGGUGGUGCCCCGGACCUAGGCGGCCGCCGGGGACCCAAACCUCUGUAUUUUAUGAGUAUUCUCUGAGUGUGAUUUACCAAAUCAAAUCAAAACUUUCAACAACGGAUCUCUUGGCUCUGGCAUCGAUGAAGAACGCAGCGAAAUGCGAUAAGUAAUGCGAAUUGCAGAAUUCAGUGAAUCAUCGAAUCUUUGAACGCACAUUGCGCCCGCCAGUAUUCUGGCGGGCAUGCCUGUCUGAGCGUCAUUUCAACCCCUYGCAACCGGUUCGCGUUCGCGCGGCCGGGGGCGGUGUUGGAGAUCGGCCGCCCCCGCCGUGGGUGGCCGGCUCCCAAAUACAGUGGCGACCGCGCCGUAGCCUCCUCUGCGUAGUAGUAACUCACCUCGCGGGUCGGAGAGCGGCGCGGAUCCUGCCGUAAAACCCCCCCAACUUCUCAAGGUUGACCUCAGAUCAGGUAGGAAUACCCGCUGAACUUAAGCAUAUCAAUAA
RNAcentral lists this small RNA (609 nucleotides) under Scopulariopsis coprophila. RNAcentral describes it as "eukaryotic LSU rRNA". The stretch from base 213 to 366 matches the Rfam family "5.8S ribosomal RNA". The record is from RNAcentral. Lineage: Eukaryota; Fungi; Ascomycota; Sordariomycetes; Microascales; Microascaceae.